RNAcentral lists this ribosomal RNA (254 nucleotides) under uncultured bacterium. RNAcentral's name for it is "partial 16S ribosomal RNA". It matches the Rfam family "Bacterial small subunit ribosomal RNA", at positions 524 to 776 of the family's 1533-position model. The record is from RNAcentral.
UACGGGGGGAGCAAGCGUUGUUCAGAUUUACUGGGCGUAAAGGGCGCGUAGGCGGUCAGCACAAGUCAGUUGUGAAAUCUCCGGGCUUAACUCGGAAAGGUCAACUGAUACUGUGCGACUAGAGUGCAGAAGGGGCAACUGGAAUUCUCGGUGUAGCGGUGAAAUGCGCAGAUAUCAGGAAGAACACCCGUGGCGAAGGCGGCUCUCUGGGACGGUACUGACGCUGAGACGCGAAAGCGUGGGGAGCGAACAGG